CCUACGGGUGGCAGCAGUGGGGAAUAUUGCACAAUGGGGGAAACCCUGAUGCAGCCAUGCCGCGUGUGUGAUGAAGGCCUUCGGGUUGUAAAGCACUUUUGGCGGGGAUGCUGUACCCGCAGAAUAAGCUCCGGCUAACUUCGUGCCAGCAGCCGCGGUAAUACGAAGGGGGCGAGCGUUGCUCGGAAUUACUGGGCGUAAAGAGUAUGUAGGCGGUAUGUUAAGUUAGAUGUGAAAGCCUGGAGCUCAACUCCAGAACUGCAUUUAAUACUGGCAUGCUGGAAGUAUGGAGAGGUCGGCGGAAUUCCCAGUGUAGAGGUGAAAUUCGUAGAUAUUGGGAGGAACACCAAAGGCGUAGGCAGCCGACUGGCCAUCUUGACGCUGAGAUACGAAAGCGUGGGGAGCAAACAGGAUUAGAUACCCGAGUAGUC
RNAcentral lists this ribosomal RNA (431 nucleotides) under uncultured bacterium. RNAcentral describes it as "partial 16S ribosomal RNA". It matches the Rfam family "Bacterial small subunit ribosomal RNA", at positions 338 to 795 of the family's 1533-position model. The record is from RNAcentral.